UACGAAGGGGGCUAGCGUUGUUCGGAAUACUGGCGUAAAGCGCACGUAGGCGGAUACUUAAGUCAGGGGUGAAAUCCCGGGCUCAACCCCGGAACUGCCUUUGAUACUGGGUAUCUCGAGUCCGGAAGAGGUGAGUGGAAUUCCGAGUGUAGAGGUGAAAUUCGUAGAUAUUCGCAGGAACACCAGUGGCGAAGGCGGCUUACUGGUCCAUUACUGACGCUGAGGUGCGAAAGCGUGGGAGCAACAGGAUUAAGA
RNAcentral lists this ribosomal RNA (255 nucleotides) under uncultured bacterium. RNAcentral describes it as "partial 16S ribosomal RNA". It matches the Rfam family "Bacterial small subunit ribosomal RNA", at positions 524 to 783 of the family's 1533-position model. The record is from RNAcentral.